UGAGGAACAUGACCUUCGGCGGGGGAGUAGCCGGCCCAACGGCCGGGUAAUACCGCGUACGACCACUUUGGGACAUCCCUCGGUGGUGAAAGCAGCAAUGCGCCGAUGGAGUGCCUCGCGGCCUAUCAGCUAGUUGGUGAGGUAACGGCUCACCAAGGCGACGACGGGUAGCUGGUCUGAGGAGGAUGGCCAGCCACAGUUGGGACUGAGACACGGCCCAGACUCCGUAGGGA
RNAcentral lists this ribosomal RNA (233 nucleotides) under uncultured bacterium. RNAcentral describes it as "partial 16S ribosomal RNA". It matches the Rfam family "Bacterial small subunit ribosomal RNA", at positions 118 to 346 of the family's 1533-position model. The record is from RNAcentral.